This 4240-nucleotide long non-coding RNA is filed under the name Marmota monax (woodchuck). Lineage: Eukaryota; Metazoa; Chordata; Mammalia; Rodentia; Sciuridae. The record is from RNAcentral.
GAAAGAUCUGCCUUGUAUUCAGGGUUUUAUUCUUUUCAGCCUUGUUUUAUAUUUUAUUGGUCUUCAGUUGGGUUUUUCCAAAAGCAGACCCCAGUCAGGGACUAGGUGCCAGCAGUUAAUUUGGAGGUGACCCCCGAAAGCUUCAGUAGGGAGUACAAAAAGGAGCCAAGUGAAGGGAGGGAGCCACCUGUAAGGGCGAAUGACAGAGUCGGUUGAUACCAUGGGCCCCUGGGACUUAAUUGUUCUGAGGAUCCUUGGAGAAACAAUAUGAGCCCAUCUCAGAAUUGCCUCACGUGGGGGGUGAAGCAACUUGGGCAUAUAUAUGGUAUUUCAGGUCAUUCAUUAGUUGAGGUUUACCCUUAAAAGCCUGAUGUCCCUUCCUGCCCAGAGAGAGAGUCAAGUACUUCCUAUGGUGGACAAAGAUCUCAGAACAAGAGGUGCAGGGGCUUGGAGUAAGAAGGUAGAGGAGAGUGUGGGAGCUGUCACCAAACUGCAGGUGAGCUGUGAGGCGGGCUGAUGGGACAAGGGCAGGACGUUGACAAGCAUGAAGUGCAGCUAAUACCCACAGGGAAUAAUAACUAGAAUAGGACACGCUCUUCUAAGCACGUGGAGUGACCAGGUCUGGAUGCGCCACAAGACUCAAAGACACUGGAUUCAGGAGCCGACUUGGGUAUGUCUCCCUGCAUGGAUUCCAGCCUUUGGCCUCUCUGUGUUGGCUGCCUUUACCCAGUGGGACCCUGGACCCACAGAUGACCAGGCAACAGUGACAAGGAGGGACAUGCAAGGAGGACCCACAAGGUGCAUGGUGAUUCCUGCAGUAACUAUAUCCUUUGUCUGAGAGGAAACCAUCACCUCUGGUGUCAAAACUGGCAGGUGGUGGAGAUUGUGGAGUGAAAAAGUGCUUGCGUGGCCUGGAACGGGGGGACCUGGUCCGACACUAAGACCGGGACUUCACUACUUUGUAGCCAGACUGUGAGCAGAGAGAAAAUGCAGACUGAUUUUUCUAACUCAGAUCAUGUGUGUAAUGAAUCCUAUUAAUGGCUGCUGAUUUUUUUAGCAGUUACGACAUGCUGGGCACCGUGGUGUGCUUUAUAAGCCUGAACUCACUGGAUGCUCACAACACGCCCCCGAGAGAGGUAUCGGACUUGGAGAGGUUAAGUAACUUGCCCAGGUCCCAGGAACAGUACGAGCAGAACUACAGUUGGUAGCUGGGCACACCCUAAGAACUCGGGGUGACGUUCUAUAAAAUGACUGCUAAGAAUGCAUAUGUUGCAUAAAGAAGGACAAGAAGUGAACUGGUUGAAGCCUUGCUCAUAAAAUAAAAUAGAAUGCUCAUGUGAAGAGUUCGUCACUACAUUUCAGGAUGUGGUGGGCAGACACCACGUGUCUGUGUGUGUGGGAAAGAGUCUGUGCUUGCUACGUGGUUGGAGAAGCGCCCGUGGGCUACCCCCAUGCCCUGAUAUUCCAAAGAUGGGCCCAGACUUUCCCAGGGACAGUUAUCUGUGCUGAGCAGGAGGCUCUGGAUCUGUGGUGUCCAGGGGACUCCGGCAACUGCUCGGCUUUUUUUGGGUCCCACCCUUUGCUGGCUGUUUGACUGCAGGCAAGGGACUUAGUCACCAGGGAACCUACUUUUCUCAUCUGUAAAUGAGGAUAAUGAGCCCUGACUCUUGCCUUCCUCUCAGGUAGGGCAGGAAAGCUUCCUGAGAGCACCCCAUGGGGCCUUUUGAUGUGCUUAAAAGAAUCCUCCUUAAUUGCCUGGCCAGGCACUGAGCAGCUGGGCGAAAGUUUUAUGACCCAAGAUUCCCACAGCGCAUCAUCUACCGGCUCCAGAAGCCCUCAGAGGGUCUCAGCGAUGGAUUCCGCGGGCAAAGCUUCUGCCAGUCCAUCAGCAGAGAUCUCUCAGAGCCUGAGUCACCUAAUAGGUGGCUUCCCGGGGGUGCUUUGGCCAGGGCCACAUGUAUUUAUGUGGUAUUUUCUGAGAGUUCCUAUGAGCACAUGGCAAUUUCUCCCUCCUCCUGGAACCCGUCCAUAGCAGUCAUUUCUAGAGCUGUGAACUACUGCUGACCUUUGUCACUUCUGUGACAAGCUGGAUGUGCCUUGUCCCUCUGGGUCCGGUGUUUGGAAGGAUGAAGUGAGCAUUGGGCUUGGUACCAGCAUGAAGCUUUCUGAAGAGUCUCUGCCUCCGGCCUGCCUGGCUGUCCAUGCUCACCACACUGCGGUCUGGCCAACAGAACACACUGCUUCCUCCUGGGAACCACCAGAGUCCCUGCAUGGUCCACAGGAGGAAAGUUGAACAAGUAACUCGGCCUCCCAACCUUGGCCCCCAACUCAAAGUCUGGUUGCAAGUUUGCUUCUCUUCCUUUCCCAUCUUCUGUAAUGUAGACAAUCCUUUCACUUAAGUUUGUUGUCACCUCCUGUGUGCCAAGUACUAUGGUAAGCUGUGUUCAGCUCUGGGCAAUGAGAUAUCGUUCCUGCUCCCAGACAGGCAUGGCUUCUGAUAAGGGCCAUGCUGCGCGAGAGGGUGGGUCUGCAGGGGUCCGCCUGGGGAGAGGGUAGGAAGCCCAGCAACCAAGGAUGAUUAGGAUGCAGCGUGACAAAGAGCCAGCGGUGGGAGUGGGAGUGGAAAUCACGGCCGGAAUGUUCCAGCAAGAAGGGCGUAGAUAUGAGAGGGGCCUGGGAAGUGGGGAUUGGUGGCACCUUAUGGCUUGGGAAGAGGCUCGGGUCCUGAGCACCCUGGUGAGCCAUGCUAAGAGGCCUGGACUUUAUUCUGAAGGAAAACCAAUCCUGAGCUGGGACUCGACGUGGCUACCAUGUCCUGGAUUGGCUCCUGGCCAGGAGCUCUGGAACGCCUAGGCCUCUGCCAGAGAGAGCCUUUCUUUCUGAACACUCCAGAGUCUAUUUGUUGUAGGUUACCUUUUAUCACAUUCUGCCUCUACUUUCUAUUUGCCACGUUUGUCUGUCUCCUUAGGACACUUUCCUCUGGUUCUCACAGCACUUAGCACGCAGUGCUUUGAGCCCCACCCCCUUCCGGCUCCAUUCCCACUGCUCAUUAGUUGUGUGAUCUUGACAAGUCACUUUAUCUCUGAGACCUUGAGUUGUCUCAUCUAUAAAAUGGGAGCAAUGAUAUUUAUUGCAUAGGAUAAUUGUGCGGAUUAAGUCAAGUACCCAGUUAACACCCAAUAAACGUUCCUUGCUUUCCUCCUUCCUUUGGUCUCUGGCUCAGAGAGAUUGCUGCAACACGGGGCAGAGCAUCUCUGAGGGAGGGAUACUCACUUUUCCCAUGGGCCCAGGGAAGUGUUGGAUGCAUGAACAAGAUCCCAUCUGCACUGGCUUGCUGAGUACCAGGCAGAAGGCGGAAGACAAACACCAUUGCACGGAGUCUUGGCUAACACCGGCAGCUGUUGCCACCCAUUCUAAUCUGAUCAGUUCUUUGACAUCUUCUGUGCAAUCCUCAUGUUAAUGUAAACAAAGAGAAAAUGUUGAAAGUAAUUUGCAAAACACAAAAUUACAGGAUGUGAGUCUUCUUGUAUAGGAUUAUGCCUUCAACAAAGUUGUGCUCCCAGGGAGAAGAGAAACUGUCAUCUGCCAAUGAGUGUUCCCCCUUUUCUACCUGGCUGCUGCUUGGCCUGUGCACAGAAUACAGACCAUGAGUACAAGAGUCUUUGUCACAGUGACGACCACCCUUAUCAUCACCAUCGUCACCCACAGUGCCUUCUCCUGCUCCCUGGCCUCCUCUUCCUUAUUGUUGACAUUUGGAUGGGGUGCAGGACAGAUCCCCACCUCCUUGUCCCUCAGGCCAUUCUGUAUAAUCUGCAUGCAUCUGACAGACCGCUGCACAGCACUCCUAGAUACCCCACUCUUACGGAAACUUCAGGAGGCAGCAGAGCAAUCAUCUUCAUCCUAACUGACGAGGAAUCAGAGGUACAGAGAAGGUGGGCAACCUGAAGGAGGGCCAAGGACUUGAGUGGAGCAUUUGCAGGCUGGGGCAGAGACUCACGUUGUCUGCAACCUGAAAAGAGUUUCAGGUUGUUUGAAGCAAGAGGGCAGCCUUGUUUCUGGGCACCCAGCCCCGGUUUCCUGUUGAUAUAGGGUCACCAUGAAGUUGAAAGAAUCUUUUCAGCACCUGUGGAAGUCAGUUUCUUUUUCUACCUUCCUUCUAUUCUUGGAACUCCCACUGUGUGCCUGGAACAUAAAAGUGUUUGUUGCAUGAAUAAAGAUUGAAGGAGAACAUGAAGAAUAA